Molecule: long non-coding RNA, 1412 nt
Organism: Schistocerca nitens (vagrant locust)
Lineage: Eukaryota; Metazoa; Arthropoda; Insecta; Orthoptera; Acrididae
Exons: 3
Source: RefSeq, a predicted model, not a curated record
UUUUUCAAACCAACAGCUAAAUUCGUGGAAUCAACACUAGAAAUAAGAAUAAUCUUCACAAGGAUUUAAAGUCACUUAGUCUUGUACAAAAAGGUGUGCAUUAUUCAGGAACACACAUUUUCAAUAACUUGCCAGCAGCCAUGAAAAGCUUAACAACCAAUGAAAUUCAGCUUAAGAGAAGCUAAAGGAUUUAUUGGUGGCCAACUCCUACUCCAUUGAUGAAUUUCUCAGUAAAACCAACUGAUUUGUAUUUAAGUACAAUAUAACUUCUGCACAAUUUCAGUGCAGUAAUGUGUUCAUUCAAAAUUUGUGUGUGUACACUCAGUAUGAUGACUUAGUCCAGUAGUGACGCUGCCUCAGAAACAGUUACACAGCUGUACAUUGCAGCUGCCAUCCUGUGGACAUGUCUUCAGGUCUGUGAUGAAGAAGUUCGAAUCAACUAGAGAACUGGGCAUCGCUCCGGGAAGAGACUGACGACUGGUUGCACCACAUUGGUUGAUGAAAUCGCUGUUGCUAUGGCAGACAAUGCUGCAUGCAAUUCCCUAUUGUCAGGCAGUGCACAGGUGGUAUCACAACAGUUGAAUUACCUGUGGUCCACUGUAAGGAGGGUGCUUGGAACCAUUCUCAAAUGGUAUCCGUAAAAGAUCCAUAUUAUACAGCAGCUUGCACCAGAGGACGCACAAAGAUGUGUUGACUUCAUUCUCCACUUUCUCGCAAGGAUUGAAGUUGACAAGGGCUGGCCCUGGAUCAUCCUAUGGACAGACGAGGCUCAUUUUUCUCUGACGGGUGAGGUGAACACACAGAAUUGCCGAGUGUGGGGAUCUUCACCUCCAGCCACUGCCGAUGAAGUUCCUCUGUAUGGUGAAUGUGUCACCAUCUAGUGUGGCUUCAUGGCUGCUUUCAUCACUGCCCCAUUCUUUUUUAAACAGGUUAGCGCUCAAGGACCAAAGAUUGCAGUGCGACUAGCCAGCAUUACUGCAAUAUGCUUCAUCAGCAUGUCAUACCUGCCCUACAGGAGAGAGACGCACUGAACUCAAGAAUUUUCACGCAAGAUUGGACUCCACCGCACAAUGCUCGUGAAGUUCACCUGCUUCUUUGAAACACAUUUAAAAACGAUUGAAUUAUGAGCCAACUGCUUUCAUAUGCUUGGGCAGCAAGAUCAACUCAUCUUACUCCCUGUGAUAUCUGGUUGUGAGGCUACCUGAAGGACAGGGUUUACCAGGGGAACAUUCACACAUGUGCUGAUCUGAAGCACAGCAUAUCAAGAGAGGUAGCCAGCAUGCCUACAGACAUGCUUCGUUCUGCUGUGCAGGGUGCAAUCCUGUGCUUUCAGACUCUUCUGGACACUGAUGGGCACCUUAUGUAGCCCCUUUUGUAGCAGUAAUGGUACUGGUAUGUAAUGGUAUGAUGUA